This 106-nucleotide small nuclear RNA is filed under the name Cervus hanglu yarkandensis (Yarkand deer). The record is from RNAcentral. Lineage: Eukaryota; Metazoa; Chordata; Mammalia; Artiodactyla; Cervidae.
GUUCUGACUCGGCAGCACAUAUACAAAAAUUGGAAUGAUACAGAGAAGAUUAGCAUGGCCCUUGCACAAGGAUGACCCACAAAUUCAUGAAGAAUUAGGUCCAUGA